Molecule: non-coding RNA, 28 nt
Filed under: Rattus norvegicus (Norway rat)
Lineage: Eukaryota; Metazoa; Chordata; Mammalia; Rodentia; Muridae
Source: RNAcentral
UACCUGUUACAGGGUAUGGCUGUCACUC